This 191-nucleotide non-coding RNA is filed under the name Desulfobacteraceae bacterium. Lineage: Bacteria; Pseudomonadati; Thermodesulfobacteriota; Desulfobacteria; Desulfobacterales; Desulfobacteraceae. The record is from RNAcentral.
GCACAAAGUAUCAUUUCAGGUGCUUUAUAAAAGCUUAAUAGGGAACACUCGUGAAAAUCGAGGACGGGCCCUCCGCUGUAAUCGUGGACGAACAUUGCAAUUAUACCACUGUUUGUAUAAAACCAAAUGGGAAGGUGCAAUAAGUAGUAUGAUACGAAAGUCAGAAGACCUGCCUGAAUUUGUAUUGCUGU